Schistocerca gregaria is the source of this 2091-nucleotide long non-coding RNA. RefSeq lists it as uncharacterized. NCBI's taxonomy places the organism in Eukaryota, Metazoa, Arthropoda, Insecta, Orthoptera, Acrididae. The record is from RefSeq and is a predicted model, not a curated record. The transcript has 4 exons.
AAAAAUGGCUGCCGUAUCAUCAGUUGGCCACUCUCUCCCUAUGCAGGAUCUCUACAGUUGAUUGUCGUGUACUGCUACACAUUGUGUUCGGGGCCGGUGAAAAAUGUCAGUGUUUGAAUAGUGUCAUAUGUCUGAUCUCAGUGUGUAUCACAGUUAAAGAACUACUGACUUUAAAUGUCUCAUUGCUCAUUUCCUGGACCUGUUUUUGGCUCAUUAAGCAUAAAACUUCGAUAUGCAGACCGAUAAGUUAUAUGAAUGCUGUAAUGAUAUCGUUUUUGAUUGUAGCCAUCACAAGUUGGUUAGUGUAUACCACAGACUGUGCAACAAAAUAGAACAUAUAGUAACACAUUUUCAUGUUGUAGUACAUUUAUACAAAGAACUUUAACUGUGAAUGUGCAGCAUGCUGAUUGCCGCAUGACUGAACGUUUAUAUAGACAAUUGUGCAUGGCACUUAUUGUUGAGUUCAAACCAUGGAAUAAUGAUUUAUAGUACAUCUACUUGAUUUACUUUAGUAGUGUGGAUGGAUAUACUGUGAAAAGUGCUGCGCCACAGGAGUAAACAAUAAAUCUGAAAACUGUAGCUAAAAUGGAUAGGAAUUAGUUCUACAAACUCAAAGAAUACCUGUUACAUUUACAACUGGCACUCAUGACCAAGGAGGUCAGCAACAUGACACCAGUUUCUGUAUUACAUGCUCAAGAAUCAUGGGCUAACGAUGUAGAUGUUGACAACUCACUGGUAGCAUCACUAUGAGAAGUCGUGUGACUAGGGCCUCACAUUCAGUGGACCGAUCGCCACAUGCAAGUCUUUCGAUUUGGUGCCACUUUGGUGACUUGUACGUUAAUGGGGAUGAAAUAAUGAUUAGGACAACACAACACCCAAUCCCUGAGCAGAGAAAAUCUCCGACCCAGCCGGGAAUCUAACCUGGGCCCUUAGGAUUGACAUUCUGCCACAAUGACCACUCAGCUACCAGGGACGGACAGCGUGAGAAGUUAUAAGGCAUUCAGACCAGUGCCUGAUGAACCAGGAGAGUAGGAAGGUGUAAGAGAGGACGUAAGAAAAAAUGGAAUUCAUAAUUGAGGAGUUUGGCACUAAACGGGGAAGAAUGGAACGAUCUUCUACAGAAGGCUAAGGCACAGAAGGCUAAGGCACAGAAGGCUGUAGCACCAAUGGUGGUGAUGAUUCAAUUUAGUGGCUGUACUUUCAUGUGUGACUAAUAGGUAUGUAUUUAAAAUACAUGGUUUCUUUGUGGCAUGAUGCUGCAUGCCACUGUACUUUAUAUCCUAUCCUUUAAGUAAUACAAUACAUGAAAUAUUAUAUACAGUUGGGAAAAUUGUGUAAUACAGUAACUUUUGUAACACCAUGAUAUUCAAUGCACCCUCAUGAGCAAGUAGUAUUUUAAUGGAUUUUCUAGUUUGGGGAUAUGUGUGUUUUGUACCAGUGUUAAUAAAAUUUGAAUGGUCCCCAUUUCCUCUAACCUUAAGCUUACCUUAGGCCCUACGCUACCAAAUCUUUUGUAUCAAGAAACCUGCAUGCAUAUUAAAGGUAGUACUUGGAAGUGAUGUUAAUACACUGAAGCUAAUUCUCACAUGUUUUGACCAGUAUGAUGUUCAUUGCUGACAUAUGCAGCAGGCAAGAAUCUAGUUUCAAGAGAUUUUAAUCCCUUCUGUUGCAUACUGAUAAAGUCAGUUAAGAGAGCUAUGUUUAUCUGCUUGUUUUUUUUUAAUGUAUUCUUGUAAUGAGAUGGUGUAUUUUAUACUUUAGACAGAUGGUGUAUACAAUGAAUGAUAACACGAACCAUAGAGUUUCACACCAUUUUUAUUCAUUUUAUUACUGUUAACUACUGCAGUAUUUUUGGCAUGUGAGUAAUUUGUGUUUAACUUUUAACCAUGAAUUUUCAUGGAUAUAUAGUGAAAUAUGUACAUAUUUUUCUAAGUGGUAUCUCUAACCUUUCUGCAUAUAUUAAUUGCAUCUGUAACAACUUGAAAAGGAUCCAGGGUCAAAAUUGCAAUUGGGAGAAUUAUAAUAAAAAAUGUUGUCAAAGAUAAAUAUGUUGUCAUUACAAAAAAAAAAAAAAAAAAAAAAAAAAAAAAA